This 91-nucleotide transfer RNA is filed under the name Christensenellaceae bacterium. RNAcentral describes it as "tRNA-Ser". It matches the Rfam family "tRNA". From Rfam's summary of the family: Transfer RNA (tRNA) molecules are approximately 80 nucleotides in length. Their secondary structure includes four short double-helical elements and three loops (D, anti-codon, and T loops). Lineage: Bacteria; Bacillati; Bacillota; Clostridia; Christensenellales; Christensenellaceae. The record is from RNAcentral.
GGAGAGAUGGCUGAGUGGUCUAAGGCGCGCGACUGGAAAUCGCGUGUGCGUUAAUAGCGCACCUAGGGUUCAAAUCCCUAUCUCUCCGCCA